This 253-nucleotide ribosomal RNA is filed under the name uncultured bacterium. RNAcentral's name for it is "partial 16S ribosomal RNA". It matches the Rfam family "Bacterial small subunit ribosomal RNA", at positions 524 to 776 of the family's 1533-position model. The record is from RNAcentral.
UACAGAGGGUGCGAGCGUUAAUCGGAAUUACUGGGCGUAAAGCGCACGUAGUCGGCUUUGCAAGUCGGGUGUGAAAUCCCCGGGCUCAACCUGGGAACUGCAUUUGUGACUGCAUGGCUGGAGUGCGGCAGAGGGGGAUGGAAUUCCGCGUGUAGCAGUGAAAUGCGUAGAUAUGCGGAGGAACACCGAUGGCGAAGGCAAUCCCCUGGGCCUGCACUGACGCUCAUGCACGAAAGCGUGGGGAGCAAACAGG